This 1777-nucleotide long non-coding RNA is filed under the name Sus scrofa (pig). RNAcentral describes it as "lncRNA (ENSSSCG00000051989.1)". The record is from RNAcentral. Lineage: Eukaryota; Metazoa; Chordata; Mammalia; Artiodactyla; Suidae.
GCAGAAGAAGAAUGGAGAUGCAUCUGAGUACCUCCUUAGUAGUUUUGUGGCUUCUUUUUUAUUGGGUGAAUGGCAAAAACCAAGUGGAACAGCGUCCUCUGUCCCUGACCAUCCUGGAGGGAGAGAAUUGCACGAUUCACUGCAAUUAUACAGUGUUAUGCACAGAAAAAAGACAGUAUCUUGCUUCUUGUAUAAUUGGAUGUAAAUUGUAAGAAGAAUCCACACAAGCUUUAUGAGGCAGGGCUCAGAUAUAAGGCGAAUAUACUGAGCUAGUGUCAAGAACUAGAUUCAUACACAGGAACUCAUUUAGCAGACUUUUGCAUUGAGAGGAGAGUAAAAAAACAUUUCUAGAUUUUUUUGUGGGGAGGGAUACUUUUUAAUUAUUCAAUUUUUAAAAAUUGUACAUAGUAGGUACUCAAGAAAUUUGUAGACGUAAAAAGGAAAGAGAACAGUAGGGGUAAACAGUUGAUGCAGCUCUCCAAAAUCCUGCACCUGGCUCUCUUUCCGUUGUUACUUCAGAGAUCAGGAAUAGCUGUGUGAGUCUGCGCACUUGGGCAUGGAUCUAAUUUCUGAUUGGCUGAGGAGCCUCUGAGCUUCCUGUGACAACAGAAACAGGAAUAUGUGCUCAGAAAAACAAGACGUUUGGAGCCUUAGGGCUCUCAAACUCCAACUUGAGUCCCCAUGAAUCUGAUGAAUGAAGAAAUGGAAAAGUCCUUGGGAGUUUUCUGCGUGGUUCUGUUUUGGCAGCUGUACUCUGAGUUGGUGGGCUUUAGAGAAAUGAAUGAGAGGGGUAGAUUCUAGUAACCAUAAAUCUGAAAGUUAUAGAAGGGUCGUUAGAGUUACUAGAAUCCCCUGGGGGAUUAUUGAAAGGAAAUUUAUUCUUUCAAAAAAUAAUGAGCCCUUAAUAAAUCUCCUCUGUCUGUGUUCUGUUUAAACAGGCGUGAGAACCUCAGAUACACUGGGCCAGAGUCCUUCAUUCCUGAGUAUCCAGGAGGGAGCACAUGCCGUUCUUAAUUGUACCUAUCAAAAGAAAACAUUUUACAGCUUCCAUUGGUUCAGGCAGGAUCCUGGGAAAGGACUUACAUCUUUGACUUUAAUUCAAUUGAGCUGGAAGGAGUAGGCAGACAAAGAUUUUAAAGAGCUGCUUGGAGAAGAGAAGUUUUAUAGUGUUUGGCAUAACUCAGCCUCCCGCCUUGGGGACUCAGCCACCUACUUUUGUGCUUUGCGGCACAGUGCUCUCCCAGCACCUGCAGCCUGUCCCCAAACCAGCAACUGGGCCUCCUGAUGGGGGUCUAGCCUUGUGGGUGGGCGUGAAGGUGUUUCUUGGUCUAUAGAGGGAAUUUUCUUAAAAUCUCUGUCUCUAAGCAGAAGUUGAGAAUAAUAUACUGCUCCCAUAUGUGAUGAAUCUGAUUUUAUACUGAAUUAAAUUUCCUUUUGCUCAUUCCUCAAUGCAGAUCGUCCUCCUUUUGGGCCUGUUUGCCUGGAUUCCCUUCCACUCUCUGCCCUCUGAUCUGAAGGGUCAGUUCCCAGUCAAAACAAGUUGUACCCUCAUCAGUAGUGUUGAACUCACUGGUUCACAAUCUUCAGGAUAUUUUCAAUAUUUGUGUACCACAUACCAUUAUUCACUAUUUUAAUAUUAAAUUGGCUUUUAUAUUAUAUAGACUUUAAAAAUGAAGAUGCCAAAAAUUAUCCCUGUUUUAAUGGCUAUUUUAUGUGAAACCAUAUAUUUUAUGUGCAGAUGUGUUUUUUCUCUUACACAUUAAAAUAACACCUUUUU